Molecule: ribosomal RNA, 466 nt
Filed under: uncultured bacterium
Lineage: Bacteria
Description: bacterial SSU rRNA
Rfam family: Bacterial small subunit ribosomal RNA
Source: RNAcentral
UCCAGACUCCUACGGGAGGCAGCAGUGAGGAAUAUUGGUCAAUGGGCGAGAGCCUGAACCAGCCAAGUCGCGUGAGGGAAGACGGUCCUAUGGAUUGUAAACCUCUUUUGCCGGGGAGCAAAAAGCGGUACGUGUACCGCAUCGAGAGUACCCGGAGAAAAAGCAUCGGCUAACUACGUGCCAGCAGCCGCGGUAAUACGUAGGGUGCGAGCGUUAAUCGGAAUUACUGGGCGUAAAGGGUGUGCAGGCGGCUGAGUAAGACAGAUGUGAAAUCCCCGGGCUUAACCUGGGAACCGCAUAUGUGACUGCUUGGCUAGAGUGCGUCAGAGGGAGGUGGAAUUCCACGUGUAGCAGGGAAAUGCGUAGAUAUGUGGAAGAACACCGAUGGCGAAGGCAGCCUCCUGGGACGCAACUGACGCUCAUACACGAAAGCGUGGGGAGCAAACAGGAUUAGAUACCCCCGUAC